Molecule: ribosomal RNA, 293 nt
Filed under: uncultured bacterium
Lineage: Bacteria
Description: partial 16S ribosomal RNA
Rfam family: Bacterial small subunit ribosomal RNA
Source: RNAcentral
GUGUCAGCAGCCGCGGUAAUACAGAGGGUGCGAGCGUUGUUCGGAAUUACUGGGCGUAAAGCGCGCGCAGGCGGAUGAUGCAAGUCUGGAGUGAAAUCUCGCCGCUCAACGGCGAGGCUGCUACGGAUACUGUACGUCUGGGGACUGGUAGAGGCUGGUAGAAUUCCCGGUGUAGCGGUGGAAUGCGUAGAGAUCGGGAAGAAUACCCGUGGCGAAGGCGGCCAGCUGGGCCAGAUCCGACGCUGAGGCGCGAAAGCGUGGGGAGCAAACAGGAUUAGAUACCCUCGUAGUCC